GUAAACAACGGGAUCGGUGAUCACCUCAUCUAGACAGAAUCCCUAUCGGGAAAUCUUUGAUUACAGAAAGGGAGAAAGCUUUAUUUACAAUUUUCAUCAACAAGUUAGUCGAACUUGAUUCAUUUUAUAAAACAAAGUUGUAACAAUUCAAGUACAUUUGCGGUAGAGCUUUGGUCUCGUGAGUCUAAGGAUGUGAGUUCAAAUUCCCAAUUAAGUCAAUGUAGCUCAAGCUCCACCGUGCAAAGGGUAGCCCAGUGAGUGUACUUCAUGACUUGAAGUAAAGAAAAAUAUAUGUUGUUACUCGAAGUGCUAAAAAAAAAAUAGGGGGUCAUUUUGCGUUCCGUAGUACUGCAGUGUCGGAACAAACCGUUAUCCUAUUGGCUACAAGAGUUAUACUCGGAUAAGAGCGACAUGCGACACUGAACACGUGAACCAAAACAGCUUUCAUCACAUUUGUAAUUUAUAAGGAUUUACAAUUUGUUCUCCACAAUUUUGCAACUAAAGAGUCUCAGAAAGUUGGUUUUACAUACUCGUUCAAGCUCGAACUCUCAUCUUCCUGAAGCGCUAUCACAGCGAGUACGGAGCAAUGGGGUUAGUGUACAAGAAUAUAAACUUUGAGUUAUUGGAAUAUAAUUUGAAUUACAUCGGGGAGGCGUAUUCGCCCAUAGAAACGCAAUUCCCGUCAUCAGUCGGUUUCUCGCAAUCAUCGCAAAUACCGAAUUUGAAUUUAAAAUAACUUGAACAUCUGGACGAUAGGAACUUUCCGGGUCCAGCCAAGAUUGACUCGAUGAAAUAGUGCGUCGACCGUCCGUGACUGCAAUGAACUAAAGAAAAAAUUAGACAAACUGUCCAGGAAAUAACUAUAAAAACUUUUACUUAAUGAAUCGUAUUCAGUGUUCCAGAGACAGCCAUAUUGCCAUCUGCCACCAUUAGGAUAAAAAUCUGCGUGGCCGAUUGAGCUCGUAGUACCCAGACCGAGAAUUUUUGCAUUGAAGCUGGUUCAAGUCCAGUGAUUCGCGGAAGACGGCCCAGACGAAGAGCGUUUCCCGCACUGCCAGCAACAUGAGCUCCCAAACUGUAGCCGAUCACCUAAACAGAAUCUUACGUAAAUUGUAUCUUUCAAAUGGGAAACAUGUCUGAAAGUUUACAUGAAAUGCUGACGGCUGAGUGCCCUGGGAUAUCAGAAAGUCCAAGAAAUUAGCAACGUAGACGCCAACUGGUGUAGUGCUUACAGCGGCGCGGGCAUAGUUUGGAUAUUCGGCAAGAGAACUCCAAUCAACCGUGAUGACGUUAAAGUCAGCCAGUAGCAAGUAAGCUAAUGAUAAAAUCAAAUAGUUUAGAAGCCUUUUACUUAAUGUAUAUGGAAAACGUUAAAUGAUUACCGGCGCGGGCUUUCGAAACAAAGCGGUCGUCAGUUCCAUUUCCACCAAAUCCAUGGAUAAGUACUUUUACUGGUUUGAAACGGUUGAAAGUUGACCGAUUUAAUACAUCUGUUCGAUUAGUCAGAAGCUGUAUGCCAUAAAUGGGAUUUAGCCUGGAACAGAGAAAGUAAAAUCGGACAUCAUUUAACUGUAGCGUGACAUCCGAGGAAAAAAUUUGAUUAGCGAUAAAAGAGGCAAUUCGAUUCGAAAUGGUAUCCUUUUUUGGUACUAGUAUAUCUUCAAUGGAGGCACCGGCGAUGGCACCAAGAGUUUGGGAAUUAACCCGAUCUACAUUGAUAUUAUCAGUUAUCCUGAGUCUUUCCUUGUUGCUCGAUGCCGUGCUACUGCGUUGAUGCUGUGCCCCGUCGUUUAAAUAUUUGACUGUGACAAGGCCAUAACCUCGAAAAAUCCAGCCUUGAAGAAGGAUUACAACCUUUCAG
This 1861-nucleotide long non-coding RNA is filed under the name Daphnia magna. RNAcentral describes it as "uncharacterized LOC116916318". The record is from RNAcentral. Lineage: Eukaryota; Metazoa; Arthropoda; Branchiopoda; Diplostraca; Daphniidae.